UACGAAGGGGGCUAGCGUUGAUCGGAAUCACUGGGCGUAAAGCGCACGUAGGCGGCUUCUUAAGUCAGGGGUGAAAUCCUGGAGCUCAACUCCAGAACUGCCUCUGAUACUGAGGAGCUCGAGUCCGGGAGAGGUGAGUGGAACUCCGGGUGUAGAGGUGAAAUUCGUAGAUAUUCGGAAGAACACCAGUGGCGAAGGCGGCUCACUGGCCCGGUACUGACGCUGAGGUGCGAAAGCGUGGGGAGCAAACAGG
RNAcentral lists this ribosomal RNA (253 nucleotides) under uncultured bacterium. RNAcentral's name for it is "partial 16S ribosomal RNA". It matches the Rfam family "Bacterial small subunit ribosomal RNA", at positions 524 to 776 of the family's 1533-position model. The record is from RNAcentral.